Molecule: ribosomal RNA, 484 nt
Filed under: uncultured bacterium
Lineage: Bacteria
Description: partial 16S ribosomal RNA
Rfam family: Bacterial small subunit ribosomal RNA
Source: RNAcentral
AUUGAACGCUGGCGGCAUGCCUAACACAUGCAAGUCGAGCGGAUGAAGGGAGCUUUCUCCUGUAUUCUGCUGCGGACGGGUGAGUAAUUCCUACGAAUCUGCCUGGUAGUUAGGGCUAAGGUCCGUACACGGGCCCUAAUCCCGCAUACGUCCUUAGUUAGAACGUGGUGGAUCUUCAGACCUCACGCUAUCAGAUGACCCUAGUUCGUAUUAGCUCGUUGGUGUGGUAAAGGCCUACCAAGGCGACGAUCCGUAACUGGUCUGAGAGGAUGAUCAGUCACACUGGAACUGAGACACGGUCCAGACUCCUACGGGAGGCAGCAGUGGGGAAUAUUGGACAAUGGGCGAAAGCCUGAUGCAGCAAUGCCGCGUGUGUGAAGAAGGUCUUCGGAUUGUAAAGCACUGUAAGUUGGGAGGAAGAGAAGUAAGUUAAUACCUUGAUGUCUUGACGGUACCAAAAGAAUAAGCAACGGCUAACUUCGUG